Molecule: long non-coding RNA, 421 nt
Organism: Marmota flaviventris (yellow-bellied marmot)
Lineage: Eukaryota; Metazoa; Chordata; Mammalia; Rodentia; Sciuridae
Source: RefSeq, a predicted model, not a curated record
UCCAACCAGGCGGUUGCCAGCAUCAUGCUAGGUGCUGGGAAUGUGUGAGUAAGAGGGGUCUCCAUCCUCCAGAAGUCUUCAGUAGAGUGGAGGUAGCACCAGAGGAUUUGCUGCUGGACUGGAUGUAGGGUGCGGAAGAAAGAGAGGAAUCAAAGUUUGGGGUCUGGACAAGAGGAGACUGGAGCUUCCUUCUGCUGCGAGCAGUUAUGGAGAAGGUUUCAAGAGAAGCAUCAUAAAAAAUCCAGAAGGAAUCAGGCCCAUCCUGCUUCCUAAUUCAUAAGUCAAGUAACCAAGUGGAAACAGACUAGAUCAUUUGGGAGACUGUUUAUGGAAAAAGGCCAAGGCAUUCUGAGCUGGAUCCUCAAAUCAGAAAUGAGCCCUGGGGUUUAUGUAAUCCUCAUGAGGAAAUUGGAAGCUGGAA